Molecule: ribosomal RNA, 490 nt
Filed under: uncultured bacterium
Lineage: Bacteria
Description: partial 16S ribosomal RNA
Rfam family: Bacterial small subunit ribosomal RNA
Source: RNAcentral
GAUGAACGCUAGCGAUAGGCUUAACACAUGCAAGUCGAGGGGCAACAUGGUCUUAGCUUGCUAAGACUGAUGGCGACCGGCGCACGGGUGCGUAACGCGUAUGCAACUUGCCUCACAGAGGGGGAUAACACGUCGAAACACAGACUAAUACCGCGUACACUCCACCUUGUGCAUGCAAGGUAGUGGCAACGGAAUUCGCUGUACGAUCGGCAUGCCGGCCAUUUGCUAGUUGGUGAGGUAACGGCUCACUAAGCGGACGAUCGGUAGGGGAACUUAGAGGGGGAACCCCGAGAGUGGUACUGGGAAACGGGCCAGAGUCAUACGGGAGGGAGCAGUAAGGAAGAUAGGUCAAGGGGAGAGAGCAUGAACGGGCCAAGUCGGGUGAAGGAUGACUGUCUGAGGGAUUGUAGCCUUCUUGUAUAAGGGAAUAACAGGAGGCAAGGGUGAGUCCCUGCAGGUACCGUAUGAAGAAGCAUCGGCUAACUACGUG